This 423-nucleotide ribosomal RNA is filed under the name uncultured bacterium. RNAcentral describes it as "partial 16S ribosomal RNA". It matches the Rfam family "Bacterial small subunit ribosomal RNA", at positions 359 to 774 of the family's 1533-position model. The record is from RNAcentral.
GUAUAUUGCACAAUGGGCGCAAGCCUGAUCCAGCCAUACGGCGUGGGCGAAGAAGGCCUUCGGGUUGUAAAGCCCCUUUGUUGGGUAGGAAAAGCAGUCGGCUACUACCCGGUUGGUCUGGCAGUCCCCAAAGCAUAAGACCCGGCUCACUUCGUGCCAGCAGCCGCGGGAAUACGAAGGGUGCAAGCGUUACUCGGAAUUACUGGGCGUAAGGCGUGCGUAGGUGGUUGUUUCAGUCUGUUGUGAAAGCCCUGGGCUCAACCUGGGAAUUGCAGUGGAUACUGGGCGACUAGAGUGUGGUAGAGGGUAGUGGAAUUCCCGGUGUAGCAGUGAAAUGCGUAGAGAUCGGGAGGAACAUCCAUGGCGAAGGCAGCUACCUGGACCAACACUGACACUGAGGCACGAAAGCGUGGGGAGCAAACA